This 445-nucleotide ribosomal RNA is filed under the name uncultured bacterium. Its description in RNAcentral is "partial 16S ribosomal RNA". It matches the Rfam family "Bacterial small subunit ribosomal RNA", at positions 354 to 796 of the family's 1533-position model. The record is from RNAcentral.
GUGAGGAAUAUUGGUCAAUGGGCGAGAGCCUGAACCAGCCAAGUCGCGUGAAGGAUGAAGGUUUUAUGAAUUGUAAACUUCUUUUGCAGGGGAAUAAAGUACGGUACGUGUACCGUUUUGUAUGUACUCUGCGAAUAAGGAUCGGCUAACUCCGUGCCAGCAGCCGCGGUAAUACGGAGGAUCCAAGCGUUAUCCGGAUUUAUUGGGUUUAAAGGGUGCGCAGGCGGGUUGAUAAGUCAGCGGUGAAAGUUUGCAGCUUAACUGUAAAAUUGCCGUUGAAACUGUCGAUCUUGAGUGCAAAUGAGGUAAGCGGAAUGUGUUGUGUAGCGGUGAAAUGCUUAGAUAUAACACAGAACACCGAUUGCGAAGGCAGCCUACUGGGAUGCAACUGACGCUCAUGCACGAAAGCGUGGGGAUCAAACAGGAUUAGAUACCCGUGUAGUCC